GUAACUGAGUCUGUCGGCGACACGUCUGCUAGAGCGCCGGGACUGAGAAAACGCACAGCAGACUGCACCCGGAGAAGUCCUGACAAAGUGCCAGCGGACGGGGGUUCGAUUCCCCCCACCUCCA
Molecule: transfer RNA, 124 nt
Filed under: Spelaeicoccus albus
Lineage: Bacteria; Bacillati; Actinomycetota; Actinomycetes; Micrococcales; Brevibacteriaceae
Description: tRNA-Phe
Source: RNAcentral